CCGAAGGAAGGGGAUGCGAUCCACUUUUCGCGUUUUUCUUUCUCGUUUCUCUGCCGGGGUUGAUACUACGAGGUCGAGGGCGAUGCUUCGUGAUCACAGAACAUGAGUGAGAAGUGAUAAAGUGGCCGAGAAGAGGAAUUUAGGUGAUAAGUGGAAGAAGAGAUGAGGAUGGCGAAGUAACGGCUGUCGGGCUGUCGACUUAUUUUCGUUUAUUAUUUGUGGUUCGAGUGAGUUUGUUUUUUUCUUGCGUCUUUCGGGAGUUCGAAAGGAAAGUCUAAGAAGAAACCUGUAAUAACUGUCUACUUGGAAGGUGAUGCUGAGCUAGAACAAUGGACAUCCUCACCUUCGCCGCCAACGCUGUGUUCAGCUCCGACCAAGAGGAAGAGCUGUGCAUCCCCCUCACGCCCACGAAGGGAAGAAGGCCCGUCUUCGGAGAGCUCACCAACACGAUCAACCUUUCCCCGGAGAAGCUCAACGACUCCUCCUCGCUCAGAGCUCUCUUCACGGCGCCCACGC
Penaeus indicus is the source of this 516-nucleotide long non-coding RNA. RefSeq lists it as uncharacterized. The transcript has 3 exons. The record is from RefSeq and is a predicted model, not a curated record. Lineage: Eukaryota; Metazoa; Arthropoda; Malacostraca; Decapoda; Penaeidae.